GCGGCGUGCUUAACACAUGCAAGUCGAACGGUGAACACGGAGCUUGCUCUGUGGGAUCAGUGGCGAACGGGUGAGUAACACGUGAGCAACCUGCCCCUGACUCUGGGAUAAGCGCUGGAAACGGCGUCUAAUACUGGAUAUGUGACGUGACCGCAUGGUCUGCGUUUGGAAAGAUUUUUCGGUUGGGGAUGGGCUCGCGGCCUAUCAGCUUGUUGGUGAGGUAAUGGCUCACCAAGGCGUCGACGGGUAGCCGGCCUGAGAGGGUGACCGGCCACACUGGGACUGAGACACGGCCCAGACUCCUACGGGAGGCAGCAGUGGGGAAUAUUGCACAAUGGGCGCAAGCCUGAUGCAGCAACGCCGCGUGAGGGAUGACGGCCUUCGGGUUGUAAACCUCUUUUAGCAGGGAAGAAGCGAAAGUGACGGUACCUGCAGAAAAAGCGCCGGCUAACUACGUGCCAGCAGCCGCGGUAAUACGUAGGGCGCAAGCGUUAUCCGGAAUUAUUGGGCGUAAAGAGCUCGUAGGCGGUUUGUCGCGUCUGCUGUGAAAUCCCGAGGCUCAACCUCGGGCCUGCAGUGGGUACGGGCAGACUAGAGUGCGGUAGGGGAGAUUGGAAUUCCUGGUGUAGCGGUGGAAUGCGCAGAUAUCAGGAGGAACACCGAUGGCGAAGGCAGAUCUCUGGGCCGUAACUGACGCUGAGGAGCGAAAGGGUGGGGAGCAAACAGGCUUAGAUACCCUGGUAGUCCACCCCGUAAACGUUGGGAACUAGUUGUGGGGUCCAUUCCACGGAUUCCGUGACGCAGCUAACGCAUUAAGUUCCCCGCCUGGGGAGUACGGCCGCAAGGCU
Molecule: ribosomal RNA, 848 nt
Filed under: Microbacterium paraoxydans
Lineage: Bacteria; Bacillati; Actinomycetota; Actinomycetes; Micrococcales; Microbacteriaceae
Description: bacterial SSU rRNA
Rfam family: Bacterial small subunit ribosomal RNA
Source: RNAcentral